RNAcentral lists this transfer RNA (82 nucleotides) under Oreochromis niloticus (Nile tilapia). It matches the Rfam family "tRNA". Rfam says of the family: Transfer RNA (tRNA) molecules are approximately 80 nucleotides in length. The record is from Rfam by way of RNAcentral. Lineage: Eukaryota; Metazoa; Chordata; Actinopteri; Cichliformes; Cichlidae.
GUUGUCGUGGCCAAGUAGUUAAGGCAGUGGACUAGAAAUCUAUUGGGGUCACCCCGCGCAGAUUGGAAUCCUGCCAACAACG